This 372-nucleotide ribosomal RNA is filed under the name uncultured organism. RNAcentral describes it as "bacterial SSU rRNA". It matches the Rfam family "Bacterial small subunit ribosomal RNA", at positions 526 to 896 of the family's 1533-position model. The record is from RNAcentral.
CAGAAGUCCCAAGCGUUGUUCGGAUUCACUGGGCGUAAAGGGUGCGUAGGUGGUGAGGUAAGUCGGAUGUGAAAUCUCCAGGCUCAACCUGGAAAUGGCAUCGGAAACUACCUUGCUCGAGGUUUGGAGGGGGGACUGGAAUACUUGGUGUAGCAGUGAAAUGCGUAGAUAUCAAGUGGAACACCAGUGGCGAAGGCGAGUCCCUGGACAAAACCUGACACUGAGGCACGAAAGCUAGGGGAGCAAACAGGAUUAGAUACCCUGGUAGUCCUAGCUGUAAACGGUGCUUAUUUGCUGUAAAAGGAAUCGACCCCUUUUGUGGCGUAGCCAACGCGUUAAAUAAGCCGCCUGGGAAGUACGGUCGCAAGAUUA